AUUAAACGCUGGCGGCAUGCCUUACACAUGCAAGUCGAACGGCAGCACGGGGUUUACCCUGGUGGCGAGUGGCGAACGGGUGAGUAAAGCAUCGGAACGUGCCCUGGAGUGGGGGAUAACGUAGCGAAAGUUACGCUAAUACCGCAUAUUCUGUGAGCAGGAAAGCAGGGGAUCGCAAGACCUUGCGCUCUGGGAGCGGCCGAUGUCGGAUUAGCUAGUUGGUGGGGUAAAGGCCUACCAAGGCGACGAUCCGUAGCGGGUCUGAGAGGAUGAUCCGCCACACUGGGACUGAGACACGGCCCAGACUCCUACGGGAGGCAGCAGUGGGGAAUUUUGGACAAUGGGCGCAAGCCUGAUCCAGCCAUGCCGCGUGAGUGAAGAAGGCCUUCGGGUUGUAAAGCUCUUUCGGCGGGGAAGAAAUUGCAUGGGUUAAUACCCUGUGUAGAUGACGGUACCCGAAUAAGAAGCACCGGCUAACUACGUG
RNAcentral lists this ribosomal RNA (484 nucleotides) under uncultured bacterium. RNAcentral's name for it is "bacterial SSU rRNA". It matches the Rfam family "Bacterial small subunit ribosomal RNA", at positions 30 to 507 of the family's 1533-position model. The record is from RNAcentral.